Molecule: long non-coding RNA, 496 nt
Filed under: Dromaius novaehollandiae (emu)
Lineage: Eukaryota; Metazoa; Chordata; Aves; Casuariiformes; Dromaiidae
Description: lncRNA (ENSDNVG00000011314.1)
Source: RNAcentral
AAAAUUACAGGAUAUUUAAUUCUGGAAUUGAAUUCAAGCCUGUCUCUGAUCUGUUGAUUGGUUUAUAUAUUUCUUUUAUCUCUUGCCAGCCCCUGGGAAUGUGAUUGAGUAAAAUCUGGAGAACCUCAGAAGUGYGGUUAAUUUAUCAGAGAACUGCAUCAAGGUUGACUUACAGAAAGUUACCCACUACUGAAUACUGGUAUUGCAUCAUAAAAGAUGAAGAUGUGGUGCAGGGGCUAAAAGAAAUGCAAAACGUGGAGGACACAGACAGUGUAUCAGAUCCGAGCAGCCUGUCAAUACAUGUCCUCCAGAGCUUUCUAGCAUCCUGGAUUCUCUCCAGAAGCGUGGAAGCACGUUCAACCAGACAUUACUGAGACACAUUCCAGAAAUACUGUAUGGACAGAAGGGAGAAGCGCAAAGUACCGUUUGGGUGUUUUGGAUGCAUUCCCUUUUGCUGUCAAGGUAAACCGUGUCCUAACCUUGUAGAAACACUUGC